AGCUCUGUAAGCGUAUACCAAAGUUGUUGCAGUUAAAACGCUCGUAGUCGGAUUUUGGCGUGGUGCUUCUGAGAUGCCUGAUUGGGUGUCGAAGGUUAGUCCCGCCUUUGUGGAGGGGGGCGUGGUGGCGCUUUAUUGCGUUGCUGCGUUUCCGCCACUGUUUACUGUGAAAAAAUUAGAGUGUUCAAAGCGAGCGAUUGCCAUGAAUACAUUAGCAUGGAAUAAUAGAAUAGGACCUGGUCCUGUUUUGUUGGUUUGUCGGUAUCAGGUAAUGAUUAAGAGGGACGGUCGGGGGCAUUUGUAUUCCAGGGUUAGAGGUGAAAUUCUUAGAUCCUUGGAAGACAAACAGCUGCGAAAGCGUCUGCCAAGGACGUUUUCAU
Molecule: ribosomal RNA, 380 nt
Filed under: uncultured eukaryote
Lineage: Eukaryota
Description: SSU rRNA
Rfam family: Eukaryotic small subunit ribosomal RNA
Source: RNAcentral